RNAcentral lists this ribosomal RNA (585 nucleotides) under Triticum aestivum (bread wheat). Its description in RNAcentral is "partial small subunit ribosomal RNA". The record is from RNAcentral. Lineage: Eukaryota; Viridiplantae; Streptophyta; Magnoliopsida; Poales; Poaceae.
AUGCAAUGGUCUAUGGUCCAGCCUCCCAUUUUCCCUUCUUUGGAACACAUGUCCUGUUUUGACUGCGUGCGUGGCUGCUUCUACUGGACACAGCCUUCUGGCUGGAGCGACCAUUUGAUGGUGCUGGACACGUGCACCAUGAGGUUUUCCACUGUCGACCUUCUCACCGGCUGCCAUGUGGAGCUCAGCAAUCUGCCUGACAAGAGCCGUGGCCGUCGUAGCCUAAAUGCCGUUGUGAUGGGCAGGGAAGGAGCCCUUGAGAUGUUUUCCCUUGUCUGUCAACAUGGAUCCUUUGCCAUCUACCAUACCUCUCUAAAGAAUAAUUCGCAGGAAUGGAAGUUAGAGAAGAUCAUACAGCUUCCUGGGCAGUAUCAUUCCAUUUGCACAAUGCGUGCAGCCGAGGGAUUCUUGUUCUUCCGAGGCGCUCCAGAAGGUAUUCAUGUUGGGAAUGUGGAUUGUUACUCAAUGGAGGUCAAGACUUAUGAAAUUACCAAAGUCUGCACAAAGAUGGAGAAUACCUUCAACCCCAGACGUACCCUCCCAUACUUUAGCUUCCCACCGCUGUUAUCGGAACCAACUAUCUGA